UACAGAGGGUGCGAGCGUUGUCCGGAAUCACUGGGCGUAAAGGGCGCGUAGGUGGCUGGGUAAGUGUGCGGUGAAAGUCCGGGGCUCAACCCCGGAUCGGCCGUGCAGACUGCUUGGCUUGAGCAUAGUAGAGGCAGGUGGAAUUCCGGGUGUAGCGGUGGAAUGCGUAGAGAUCCGGAAGAACACCGGUGGCGAAGGCGGCCUGCUGGGCUAUUGCUGACACUUAGGCGCGACAGCGUGGGGAGCAAACAGG
This 253-nucleotide ribosomal RNA is filed under the name uncultured bacterium. RNAcentral describes it as "partial 16S ribosomal RNA". It matches the Rfam family "Bacterial small subunit ribosomal RNA", at positions 524 to 776 of the family's 1533-position model. The record is from RNAcentral.